CCUACGGGUGGCAGCAGUGGGGAAUAUUGCACAAUGGGGGAAACCCUGACGCAGCGACGCCGCGUGAGGGAUGAAGGUCUUCGGAUCGUAAACCUCUGUCAGCAGGGAAGAACGGUCACUGUGCUAAUCAGUAGUGAGUUGACGGUACCUGCAAAGGAAGCACCGGCUAACUCCGUGCCAGCAGCCGCGGUAAUACGGUGGGUGCGUGCGUUGAUCGGAAUUACUGGGCGUGAAGCGCUCGUAGGCGGUAUGUCAAGUCACUGGUGAAAUCCCCGCGCUCAACGUGGGAACUGCCUUUGAAACUGGCAAACUCGAGUGUGUGAGAGGAUAGUGGAAUUCCAGGUGUAGGAGUGAAAUCCGUAGAUAUCGGGAGGAACAUCAGUGGCGAAGGCGACUAUCUGGCACAUAACUGACGCUGAGGCGCGAAAGCGUGGGUAGCAAACAGGAUUAGAUACCCGGGUAGUC
This 465-nucleotide ribosomal RNA is filed under the name uncultured bacterium. RNAcentral describes it as "partial 16S ribosomal RNA". It matches the Rfam family "Bacterial small subunit ribosomal RNA", at positions 338 to 795 of the family's 1533-position model. The record is from RNAcentral.